ACUCAAAGGAAUAGACGGGGGCCCGCACAAGCGGCGGAGCGUGCGGUUUAAUUCGACGCAACGCGCAGAACCUUACCAGGGCUUGACAUGCACCUGCAGAGCGGCGAAAGCCGAUGUCCUUCGAGGGUGGUGCACAGGUGCUGCAUGGCUGUCGUCAGCUCGUGUCGUGAGAUGUUGGGUUAAGUCCCGCAACGAGCGCAACCCUCGCGACCAGUUACGUGGGUGUCUGGUCGGACUGCCGGUAGCAAGCCGGAGGAAGGCGGGGAUGACGUCAAGUCAGCAUGGCCCUUACGUCCUGGGCUACACGCACGCUACAAUGGGUGGGACAACGGGUAGCCAAACCGCGAGGUGGAGCGAAUCCCCUAAACUCAUCCUCAGUUCAGAUUGUGGGCUGCAACUCGCCCGCAUGAAGUCGGAGUCGCUAGUAACCGCCGGUCAGCAAUACGGCGGUGAAUACGUUCCCGGGCCUUGUACACACCGCCCGU
Molecule: ribosomal RNA, 485 nt
Filed under: uncultured bacterium
Lineage: Bacteria
Description: partial 16S ribosomal RNA
Rfam family: Bacterial small subunit ribosomal RNA
Source: RNAcentral